RNAcentral lists this ribosomal RNA (403 nucleotides) under uncultured bacterium. Its description in RNAcentral is "bacterial SSU rRNA". It matches the Rfam family "Bacterial small subunit ribosomal RNA", at positions 355 to 774 of the family's 1533-position model. The record is from RNAcentral.
UAGGGAAUAUUGCAAAAUGGGCGAAAGCCCGAUGCAGCAACGCCGCGUGGGCGAUGAAGGCCUUCGGGUCGUAAAGCCCUUUUUGAGGGGAUGAGGAAGGACAGUACCCUCAGAAUAAGCCUCGGCUAACUACGUGCCAGCAGCCGCGGUAAAACGUAGGAGGCGAGCGUUAUCCGGAUUUACUGGGCGUAAAGCGCGUGCAGGCGGAUUGGAGAGUUGGAUGUGAAAGCUCCCGGCUUAACUGGGAGAUGUCGUUCAAUACUUCCAGUCUUGAGUGCAGUAGAGGGAAGUGGAAUUCCGGGUGUAGUGGUGAAAUGCGUAGAUAUCCGGAGGAACACCAGUGGCGAAAGCGGCUUCCUGGACUGUAACUGACGCUCAGACGCGAAAGCUAGGGUAGCAAACG